UUUCCAUGACACUUCGCAUCAUCCAAACUACUGCAUAGAAAGAUAAUUAUUACUUUUCUACAGAGGAUAUACAAACUUUUUCCAAAGAUUUAUUUUCCCCGAAGAAAUUACUUAUAUCUUGUUUGGAUUAAUAGCAAGAUGGUAUUAUUGUUGAUGACAAAUGCAAGUCCCAUUAAAAGAUAUACAUCAGGCAGGUUACAUCUCGAUGGACAACAAUUUAACUUGUUAAUAUUGAAGUUUAUUAGCUCUCCUACCAAUAUCUCUUAGCACCAUUGGCCGUUUUGUCAUCGAGUUAAAUCAGUUUCUCGAAUAUUAUUAUUAUUUUUAAUAUCCUUCUAUACUUUUUUUUUAUUAGUCGUUAAUAUUGAGUUAAAUUUUGGAUUGGCGUAAUUUUAACUUGGUAACAGUUUUACUAUCGACUGAUAUCAUUUCUCAGGCUUCCCGGAAUUUCUAGAGUUUUUUUAUCCAAAGGUUGGUCAACGAGUUUCGAGUGGUUCUCCCAUUUUAGUGGAAAAACUAACUCAUGAUUGAUGAUCUGAUGUUUCAACAGAGAACAUUGUGUUUUUGCUUGUGAACAAGAUGGUGAUGGGCAACUAUGUUAUUAUUCCACGGGAAGGGUAAUCAAUUUAAUCUUGUAAAGGUAAUUCCUAUUCCUUAUCAGUCAGCAAUUACCAAGGAUAAUGUCUCCAUUCGAAUCCAUGGAGUCCUCUAUGUCAAGGUAUGUCUUUAUUUGAUUUUUUGGUGUGGCUUAAAUAAACUGAUUACAUGAGAUUCUAAGUGAAUGCUGACAUCCAUUUUCCUUUUUCGUGUUCUGAAGAUCAUUGACCCUAAGUUGGGAUGGUAUGGAGUUGAGAAUCCAUUGUAUGAUGUGAUUCAGGUUGCACAAA
RNAcentral lists this long non-coding RNA (887 nucleotides) under Erythranthe guttata (spotted monkey flower). Its description in RNAcentral is "long non-coding RNA (EGUT_LNC001629)". The record is from RNAcentral. Lineage: Eukaryota; Viridiplantae; Streptophyta; Magnoliopsida; Lamiales; Phrymaceae.